This 899-nucleotide ribosomal RNA is filed under the name Janthinobacterium aquaticum. RNAcentral describes it as "bacterial SSU rRNA". Lineage: Bacteria; Pseudomonadati; Pseudomonadota; Betaproteobacteria; Burkholderiales; Oxalobacteraceae. The record is from RNAcentral.
CACGGAGCUUGCUCUGGUGGCGAGUGGCGAACGGGUGAGUAAUAUAUCGGAACGUACCCURGAGUGGGGGAUAACGUAGCGAAAGUUACGCUAAUACCGCAUACGAUCUAAGGAUGAAAGUGGGGGAUCGCAAGACCUCAUGCUCGUGGAGCGGCCGAUAUCUGAUUAGCUAGUUGGUAGGGUAAAAGCCUACCAAGGCAUCGAUCAGUAGCUGGUCUGAGAGGACGACCAGCCACACUGGAACUGAGACACGGUCCAGACUCCUACGGGAGGCAGCAGUGGGGAAUUUUGGACAAUGGGCGAAAGCCUGAUCCAGCAAUGCCGCGUGAGUGAAGAAGGCCUUCGGGUUGUAAAGCUCUUUUGUCAGGGAAGAAACGGUGAGAGCUAAUAUCUCUUGCUAAUGACGGUACCUGAAGAAUAAGCACCGGCUAACUACGUGCCAGCAGCCGCGGUAAUACGUAGGGUGCAAGCGUUAAUCGGAAUUACUGGGCGUAAAGCGUGCGCAGGCGGUUUUGUAAGUCUGAUGUGAAAUCCCCGGGCUCAACCUGGGAAUUGCAUUGGAGACUGCAAGGCUAGAAUCUGGCAGAGGGGGGUAGAAUUCCACGUGUAGCAGUGAAAUGCGUAGAUAUGUGGAGGAACACCGAUGGCGAAGGCAGCCCCCUGGGUCAAGAUUGACGCUCAUGCACGAAAGCGUGGGGAGCAAACAGGAUUAGAUACCCUGGUAGUCCACGCCCUAAACGAUGUCUACUAGUUGUCGGGUCUUAAUUGACUUGGUAACGCAGCUAACGCGUGAAGUAGACCGCCUGGGGAGUACGGUCGCAAGAUUAAAACUCAAAGGAAUUGACGGGGACCCGCACAAGCGGUGGAUGAUGUGGAUUAAUUCGAUGCAACGCGAAAAC